Panthera uncia (snow leopard) is the source of this 5109-nucleotide long non-coding RNA. RefSeq lists it as uncharacterized. The record is from RefSeq and is a predicted model, not a curated record. NCBI's taxonomy places the organism in Eukaryota, Metazoa, Chordata, Mammalia, Carnivora, Felidae. The transcript is spliced from 2 exons.
AUACCGCGAGACUACCGCGACACUGCCGGGAGGCGAAAAUUUCGGCCCUGUCCGCCGUUUUGCGCGUGCGCAAAGGGUCGAGCCAGUGUUGUUUUUUGUUUUUUGUUUUUUUUUCCCGGCUGGAAGUGAGAUGUUAGUGAGUGGUGAGGUUAGGCCGGAAGUGGUGUUGCGUAGGGAAUGGGGGGAGGGGGGACCAGCUGAACCGCCGCUCGUCGGGCGAAGCGGGAGGCUUGUGGCGCUGGGCUGGAGGUGAGAAGAAAGGCAGCCUCUGAUAGGGAUGGACCAGAGUCUGCUAACGGGAGAUAUCCCGGGUUUCAUUGGGGGAGGCACCUUCUGGUUUCGCACUGGGGACGAAUUGAGGCCUCCCGGGGCGAGAGGGACAGCAAUCCGGGGUCUGAGCGGAGCUAUUCUAGGGUCGGUUGGAAAAGGCAAGCUGAAAUUCUUAGAAGGCCUGGUUGGGCCCGAGAGGACCGGAGAGAAGUCAGGAAUCCGCUGGAAAGAGGAUAACAGGCCAAGGAUGCAGUCCAAGAAAGUUCUAAAAUAUAUCAUCAGGUCCAACUUGGUAGUUGACCUAGCCAUGGAAAGCCUCAUUGGAUCCUCACUGGGUCAGACCAUAACUGGCAUUCUUAAAAAUUCUUCCCAUCAUAAAGUAUCAAGAAGGAAAAUGUAGGAUAUAUACCUACCACUUCAAGAAAGCUCCUGUACCAGCCAACAGCCUAACAGAUUAGCUAGCUGCUUUGAUCAUCAAGCAGACGUACUCAAGCUCAGCACAGCACAGGAAAAAUCUCUCUAUCAACAUUUUUCACAUUCUGUGUGUGACCUAUUAGCAAGUCAUGAAAUCAGUUCUGUGAGUCACAGUGAAAGUUUUUUUAAAACAGUAAAAUAUGUCAAGUGUUUUGUGUGAUUCCUCUGCCAGAAUUGUGCUACCAGGAAUACUAAGGUCAAUUUCAAGAUCUGAAAAGAAAAUUAACUAAUGGAGGGCAUAUAAUGAACAGAAUGUAUACUGGCUAAGAAAUGGCUUUUCAAGCAUUUGUCCACUGGUGUCUUGUUUCGUUUUCAUAAUAAUAAAGUUGGUGAGCAGUCUAGUUUGUGUUCCCGUGACUUGCAACUAGAUGUGAAGUCUGAGAUGUUCAACUGAGAUGCAUUUGCAAACUAUAUUUUUUGGGAAAGAUGUUAUCUAGGCUAUAUAUAUAUAUAUAUAUAUAUAUAUAUAUAUAUACAAAAUUUUUAGUGGCAUUUAAAACAUUUUAAUUAGCAUUACUUUUAAAAUGGAUCCUAUCGUUUUUAAAAGAAAGAGGAAAAAUGAAGUGAAAUGUGCAGACACUUGUUCAAGUUCAGCUGCUGCACCUGGAAAUGUGAAUAGUGACCAUGUUGAGAGAAAUACUGACUGUAAUCUGCAAACUUCAACCUCGUUUGAGCCACAUUUCAAAAAGAAAAAGGUGCAAGACGUUAUAAUGAAGAUUAUUUAAAAUACGGUUUUAUCAAAUGUGAAAAACCCUUUGAAAAUGACAGACCUCAGUGUGUUAUUUGUAAUAAUAUUCUUGCAAAUGAGAGCUUAAAACCUUCUAAAUUAAAAAGGCACUUAGAAACUCAGCAUGCUGAACUUACUGAUAAGCCUCUUGAGUAUUUUCAAAGAAGAAAAAGGAUGUAAAGUUGUCUACACGAUUUCUCGGUUGUCCUACAGCUGUUAGCGAGAAAGCCUUAUUAUCGUCGUAUUUGGUUGCAUAUCGAGUGGCGAAAGAGAAAAUGGCUCACACGGCUGCUGAAAAAAUAAUUCUUCCAGCGUGUUUGGAUAUGGUGCGUACAAUUUUUGAUGACAAAUCGGCUGAUAAAUUAAAAACGAUAUCUAGUGAUGACAUCAUAUCUCUUCGAAUGUGCACUAUUGCGGAACACUUAGAAACAAUGCUUCUUACCCGGUUGCAGACUGGUAUAGACUUUGCGAUCCAGCUCGAUGACAGCACCGAUCUGGGGAGCGGCACAACACUCUUAGUUUAUGUCAGAUACGCGUGGCAAGAAGAUUUCAUGGAGGAUUUUUUGUGUUGUUUAAAUAUAACCUCACACCUAAGCGGGUUAGAUAUUUUUACAGAAUUAGAAAAGUGCAUUGUUGGCUGAUAUAAAUUAAACUGGAAGAACUGCAAAGGGAUUACAAGUGAGGGAGCAGCAAACAUAACCGGAAGACACAGCAGAGUAAUUAAAAAAUUGCUAGAAGUUACUGAUAAUGGCGCCGUGUGGAAUCACUGUUUUAUACAUCGUGAAGCUUUAGCAUCCAGAGAAAUCCCACAGAAUCUCUUGGAAGUGCUGAAAAACGCAGUGAAAGUUGUUAACUUCAUUAAAGGCAGUCCACUAAAUAACCAGCUUCUUGAAACAUUUUGUUCAGAGAUUGGAGCUAAUCGUACCCACUUACUAUACCAUACCAAGGUUCGUUGGUUGUCUCAUGGCAAAAUACUAAGCAGGGUUUACGAACUCAGGAACGAGAUCCACCUUUUUCUUACUGAAAAAAAAUCUCAUUUGGCAAGUAUUUUGGAAGAUGACAUUUGGGUGACGAAAUUGGCAUAUUUAACAGAUAUUUUUGGCAUUCUUAACGAACUGAGUUUAAAACUACAGGGGGAAAAUAGCAAUAUAUUCCAACAGGUCGAACGCAUCCAGGGAUUCCAAAAGACACUAUUGUUAUGGCAAGCGAGGCUUAAAAGCAGCCGUCCGAGCUACUACAUGUUUCCGAGAUUUUUGCAACAUAUCGAAGAGAACGUUAUUAGUGAAAACCUUUUGAAAGAAAUAAAAUUAGAGAUAUUGGUGCAUCUCACUUCUCUGUCUCAAACUUUUAACCAUUUCUUUCCACAAGAGAAGUUUGAAACGUUAAGAGAAAACAGCUGGGUGAAAGAUCCCUUUGCUUUUCGAAACCCAGAAUCGGUAAUUGAGUUAAACUUGGUGCCUGAAGAAGAGAGUGAAUUACUGCAGCUCAGUUCCUCAUACACAUUGAAGACUGACUACGAAGCAUUAACAUUAUCGGCAUUUUGGAUUAAGGUAAAGGAAGACUUCCCUCUGCUAAGCAGAAAGAGUGUCCCGCUUCUGUUACCAUUCACGACAACCAGUUUGUGCGAGCGUGGGUUUUCAGUCCUGACCCAGUUAAAAGCAAAGGAAAGAAACGGGUUGAAAGGUGCAGCAGAUAUGCGGGUGGCACUGUCCUCCUGUGUUCCCGACUGGAGCGAACUUCUCAGCAGGCAAGCGCACCCGUCACCUUAAGUGAAUCUUCCCUGAUUUGUGUUCUUGUGUUUCUUAUUUUGUGACAUUUUUCUAUGCUGAAUUCAGAUGCUAACACAGCAUUGUAUGUGCUAACUGGGUUUUUAUUUUUGGCAUAUUUAAAUAUUAAUGAAAUCAUAAUGUAACUUUCCAUUCUUUGACCAAAACUUUAAUGAACUUCUGUUAGAGGCCAGGAAGUUUUCUAGAGACAUUUGGGAUGCAAAAUGAAGAAAGCAAAGAUCAUUCUGUAGUGGAACUUCGUGGAACUGGCAGGGAGAGAGACAGACAGACCAUAAAUAACCCUUAAAAUAUUUUAAAGGUAAUAAGUGCUAUAGAAAGAGCAAUAAGAAAGAAGGCUCGGGAACUGUUAUAUGGGCACCAAAUCAUGAAGGGCUCUGUAGACCAUCAAAGGGCCUCUGGGUUUUUGCCUGAAAUGGAGAGCAGUUGAAGGAUUAUGCAGAGGAAAGAUGUGAUGUGAAUUAGGUUUUAAAAGAUUCACUUCAUAGGUGCCCAGCUGGCUCAGUCAAUAGAGCAUGUGCCUCUUUUUUUUUAUUUUAUUUUAUUUUUAAUAUUUAUUUAUUUUUGAGACAAUGCGAGAGACAGAGUGCAAUCAGCGGAGGGAUGGACAGAGGGAGACACAGAAUCUGAAGUGGGCUCCAGGCUCUGAGCUGUCAGCCCAGAGCCCGACGCGGGGCUCAAACUCCCAAACCGUGAGAUCAUGACCUGAGCUGAAGUUGGAUACUUAACCAACUGAGCCACUCAGACGCCCCUAGAGCAUGUGCCUCUUGAUCUUGGGGUUGUAAGUUUGUGCCCCACAUUGGGUGUAGAGAUUACUUAAAAAAAUAAAAUAAGCUGAAAUAAAUAGAAGACUCUGGCUGACAUUUUGAGAAUAAAUGGAAUUCAACGUUAACUUCCCUAAAGAGGAUUUUCCUAACCCACCUUAGUUUUUGUUCCAUUAUUCCCUUUGUUUCUUUUCUUGGUAGUGUAUCAUUUGUAAUAUUUUUAUUUAUUUGAUAACUGAUUCUGUCAAUCUGCUACCCUGGAAUGAGUGCUUCAUAGGAGCAGAAUUCAUGUCCAUUUUGUAUGAUACACAGUAAGUGGGGAUGUAAUGUACAUCUAAUUAACAAAUAAUGAUCUCUAACAUCUGUAACUUGAGGUUGUACUCUCAGGAAUAAUUAUUAAAUGUGUGGCAAAGUCUCUUUCACAUUUUUAAAAAUAUUUAUUUAUUUUUGAGGGAAAGAGACAAUGUGCGAGCACGGGAGGGACAGAGAGAGGGGGACAGAAGCAUGCUCUACAUGGACAGCAGCGAGUCCAAUGUGGGGCUUGAACUCCCCAACCUUGAGAUCAUGACCUGAGCUGAAGUCAGAUGCUUAACUGACUGAAUCACCCAGGUGCCCCCCCCCCAUUUUUUUUUUUUUUUAACAUUUUAAAAUUUGAUUUGGUCAGAUAAUCUCUAUAAGCAUUCAAAAAUGGCAUUGAUUGAUAUGGCUUCCUCACAUUGUUGCUGAUAAUUAAGCAACUUAAAUUGCUUAAUAUGUGUUCCUCAAAUUAAUUUCAACUUCUGCCUUUAUAUAGUCACUGAUUCCAGUGGGUGGUGUUUCUCUUGGCAAGGGCUCUCUCUAAAAUUGUAAAGGUGAGCAAUUCCUUUCCAUCAGCUACCAUGCUUAGGAUUCUUGUAAUAUUUGUGUUUUCAGAUUUUGUCUUCUAUUGAAGGUGAUUUUUUUACUUGCCUUUUUGGUACUCGAAAUAAAGUGUUGGAAUACAGUUCCCCAGGAAUAUCUCACAUGUCUGCUCAGUGUGGAUUCUCUGAAUGAAGGUAUUUGCAUCCACAUUAAGAAUGUUUGUAAAGGGAGACAGUUGAGGAUCAUGAAG